This 249-nucleotide long non-coding RNA is filed under the name Brassica napus (rape). RNAcentral describes it as "long non-coding RNA (BNAP_LNC012848)". Lineage: Eukaryota; Viridiplantae; Streptophyta; Magnoliopsida; Brassicales; Brassicaceae. The record is from RNAcentral.
UCUCGGGAUCAUUGGCUCUCCUUCAAAGGAGGGAGCGGGAAGUCCCUAGAACUCAGCCUCAGAGGUCUUCACCAUCUUCUAUCGCUCCAGCGCGCCUUCAAGAUCCCAGCUGUUGGUCUGAUGGUUAAGCCAUUCCCUCAUUAGCUCCCAGCGAGUCACCACUAUGGCGCCGCUCACCGCCAUAGUCUUCUCAACAUCGAAGGUCUCCGCGGCGCACCUCAAGUCGCAUACCUCCUCCUCCCGACGCUC